AAUUUUUGACAAUGGGGGCAACCCUGAUCCAGCCAUCCCGCGUGUGCGAUGAAGGCCUUCGGGUUGUAAAGCACUCUUGGCAGGGAAGAAAAAGCGCGGGGUAAUACCCGGCGCCGCUGACGGUACGUGCAGAAUAAGCACCGGCUAACUACGUGCCAGCCGCCGAGGUAAUACGUAGGGUGCAAGCGUUAAGCGGAAUUGCUUGGCGUAAAGCGUGAGCAGGCGGUUCGGCAAGAAGGAUGAGUAAUCCCGGGGCUUAACCUCGGAACUGCAUUCUUAACUGCCGGGCUAGAGUAUGUCAGAGGGGGGUAGAAUUCCACGUGUAGCAGUGAAAUGCGUAGAGAUGUGGAGGAAUACCGAUGGCGAAGGCAGCCCCCUGGGAUGAUACUGACGCUCAUGCACGAAAGCGUGGGGAGCAAAC
This 421-nucleotide ribosomal RNA is filed under the name uncultured bacterium. Its description in RNAcentral is "partial 16S ribosomal RNA". It matches the Rfam family "Bacterial small subunit ribosomal RNA", at positions 360 to 773 of the family's 1533-position model. The record is from RNAcentral.